CCGAGAGCUGCCCAGUGACAUGAGCCUACCAGACGAGCUAAAUUACUUCUAUGCUCGCUUCGAGGCAAGUAACACUGAAACAUGCACGAGAGCAUCAGUUGUUCCGGACAACUGUGUGAUCACGCUCUCCGGAUCCGAUGUGAGUAAGACCUUUUAACAGGUCAACAUUCAUAAGGUCGCAGGGCCAGACAGAUUACCAGGACGUGUACUCCGAGCAUGCGCUGACCAACUGAUGAGUCUGUAAUACCAACAUCUUUCAAGCAGAUCACCAUAGUCCCUGUGCCUAAGAACACUAAGAUCCAGGGCUCCCGAGUGGCGCAGCGAUCUAAGGCACUGCAUCUGCAAGAGGUCGUCACUACAGUCCCUAGGUAGAAUCCAGGCUGAAUCAAAUCCGGCCGUAUUUGGGGGUCUCAUAGGACGGCGCACAAUUGGCCCAGCGUCAUCCAGGUUUGGCCGGGGUAGGCC
Molecule: long non-coding RNA, 465 nt
Organism: Oncorhynchus tshawytscha (Chinook salmon)
Lineage: Eukaryota; Metazoa; Chordata; Actinopteri; Salmoniformes; Salmonidae
Source: Ensembl